RNAcentral lists this ribosomal RNA (994 nucleotides) under Escherichia coli. RNAcentral describes it as "partial 23S ribosomal RNA". It matches the Rfam family "Bacterial large subunit ribosomal RNA", at positions 445 to 1439 of the family's 2925-position model. The record is from RNAcentral. Lineage: Bacteria; Pseudomonadati; Pseudomonadota; Gammaproteobacteria; Enterobacterales; Enterobacteriaceae.
UGGGGGGACCAUCCUCCAAGGCUAAAUACUCCUGACUGACCGAUAGUGAACCAGUACCGUGAGGGAAAGGCGAAAAGAACCCCGGCGAGGGGAGUGAAAAAGAACCUGAAACCGUGUACGUACAAGCAGUGGGAGCACGCUUAGGCGUGUGACUGCGUACCUUUUGUAUAAUGGGUCAGCGACUUAUAUUCUGUAGCAAGGUUAACCGAAUAGGGGAGCCGAAGGGAAACCGAGUCUUAACUGGGCGUUAAGUUGCAGGGUAUAGACCCGAAACCCGGUGAUCUAGCCAUGGGCAGGUUGAAGGUUGGGUAACACUAACUGGAGGACCGAACCGACUAAUGUUGAAAAAUUAGCGGAUGACUUGUGGCUGGGGGUGAAAGGCCAAUCAAACCGGGAGAUAGCUGGUUCUCCCCGAAAGCUAUUUAGGUAGCGCCUCGUGAAUUCAUCUCCGGGGGUAGAGCACUGUUUCGGCAAGGGGGUCAUCCCGACUUACCAACCCGAUGCAAACUGCGAAUACCGGAGAAUGUUAUCACGGGAGACACACGGCGGGUGCUAACGUCCGUCGUGAAGAGGGAAACAACCCAGACCGCCAGCUAAGGUCCCAAAGUCAUGGUUAAGUGGGAAACGAUGUGGGAAGGCCCAGACAGCCAGGAUGUUGGCUUAGAAGCAGCCAUCAUUUAAAGAAAGCGUAAUAGCUCACUGGUCGAGUCGGCCUGCGCGGAAGAUGUAACGGGGCUAAACCAUGCACCGAAGCUGCGGCAGCGACACUAUGUGUUGUUGGGUAGGGGAGCGUUCUGUAAGCCUGUGAAGGUGUACUGUGAGGUAUGCUGGAGGUAUCAGAAGUGCGAAUGCUGACAUAAGUAACGAUAAAGCGGGUGAAAAGCCCGCUCGCCGGAAGACCAAGGGUUCCUGUCCAACGUUAAUCGGGGCAGGGUGAGUCGACCCCUAAGGCGAGGCCGAAAGGCGUAGUCGAUGGGAAACAGGUUAAUAUUCC